GAUGAACGCUGGCGGCGUGCCUAAUACAUGCAAGUAGAACGCUGAAGGAGGAGCUUGCUCUUCUGGAUGAGUUGCGCACGGGUGAGUAACGCGUAGGUAACCUGCCUGGUAGCGGAGGAUAACUAUUGGAAACGAUAGCUAAUACAGCAUGACAACAGUUGUUGCAUGAUAACUGUCUAAAAGGAGCAACUGCUCUACUACCAGAUGGACCUGCGUUGUAUUAGCUAGUUGGUGAGGUAACGGCUCACCAAGGCGACGAUACAUAGCCGACCUGCGAGGGUGGUCGGGCCAACUGGGAAUGAGAAACGGCCCAGACUCCUACGGGAGGCAGCAGUAGGGAAAUUUCGGCAAUGGACGGAAGGCUGACCGAGGAAAGCCGCGGGAGUGAAGGAGGGUUUCGGGUUGGAAAGCUCUGUUGUAAGGGAAGAACGAGUGUUAGAGUGGAAAGUUCACACUGUGACGGUAUCUUACCAGAAAGGGACGGCUAACUACGUG
RNAcentral lists this ribosomal RNA (495 nucleotides) under uncultured bacterium. Its description in RNAcentral is "partial 16S ribosomal RNA". It matches the Rfam family "Bacterial small subunit ribosomal RNA", at positions 28 to 507 of the family's 1533-position model. The record is from RNAcentral.